AUUGAACGCUGGCGGCAGGCCUAACACAUGCAAGUCGAGCGGAUGAAGGGAGCUUGCUCCUGGAUUCAGCGGCGGACGGGUGAGUAAUGCCUAGGAAUCUGCCUGGUAGUAGGGGAUAACGUCCGGAAACGGGCGCUAAUACCGCAUACGUCCUGAGGGAGAAAGUGGGGGAUCUUCGGACCUCACGCUAUCAGAUGAGCCUAGGUCGGAUUAGCUAGUUGGUGGGGUAAAGGCCUACCAAGGCGACGAUCCGUAACUGGUCUGAGAGGAUGGUCAGUCACACUGGAACUGAGACACGGUCCAGACUCCUACGGGAGGCAGCAGUGGGGAAUAUUGGACAAUGGGCGAAAGCCUGAUCCAGCCAUGCCGCGUGUGUGAAGAAGGUCUUCGGAUUGUAAAGCACUUUAAGUUGGGAGGAAGGGCAGUAAGUUAAUACCUUGCUGUUUUGACGUUACCAACAGAAUAAGCACCGGCUAACUUCGUG
Molecule: ribosomal RNA, 484 nt
Filed under: uncultured bacterium
Lineage: Bacteria
Description: partial 16S ribosomal RNA
Rfam family: Bacterial small subunit ribosomal RNA
Source: RNAcentral